AUUCCCCGAGUGUUACUGGACAGCACGCCGGUCUCCAAAACCGUGCAGUAGGAGUUCGAGUCUCCUGGGGUUUGCCA
RNAcentral lists this transfer RNA (77 nucleotides) under Klebsiella phage Sugarland. RNAcentral describes it as "tRNA-Trp". It matches the Rfam family "tRNA". Rfam says of the family: Transfer RNA (tRNA) molecules are approximately 80 nucleotides in length. Their secondary structure includes four short double-helical elements and three loops (D, anti-codon, and T loops). Further hydrogen bonds mediate the characteristic L-shaped molecular structure. tRNAs have two regions of fundamental functional importance: the anti-codon, which is responsible for specific mRNA codon recognition, and the 3' end, to which the tRNAs corresponding amino acid is attached (by aminoacyl-tRNA synthetases). tRNAs cope with the degeneracy of the genetic code in two manners: having more than one tRNA (with a specific anti-codon) for a particular amino acid; and 'wobble' base-pairing, i.e. permitting non-standard base-pairing at the 3rd anti-codon position. RNAcentral also lists the same sequence under 35 other names. The record is from RNAcentral. Lineage: Duplodnaviria; Heunggongvirae; Uroviricota; Caudoviricetes; Demerecviridae.